RNAcentral lists this ribosomal RNA (483 nucleotides) under uncultured bacterium. Its description in RNAcentral is "partial 16S ribosomal RNA". It matches the Rfam family "Bacterial small subunit ribosomal RNA", at positions 899 to 1397 of the family's 1533-position model. The record is from RNAcentral.
ACUCAAAGGAAUAGACGGGGGCCCGCACAAGCAGCGGAGCGUGUGGUUUAAUUCGAGGCUACACGAAGAACCUUACCUGGGUUGGAUAUGGACGCAGUAGGGAAGCGAAAGCCGACCGACCGCAAGGAACGUUCACAGGUGCUGCAUGGCUGUCGUCAGCUCGUGCCGUGAGGUGUUCGGUUAAGUCCGCAAACGAGCGCAACCCCUGGCGGUAGUUACAAGUGUCUACCGCGACUGCCCGUGACAAACGGGAGGAAGGUGGGGAUGAUGUCAAGUCAGCAUGGCCUGUAUAUCCAGGGCGACACACACGCUACAAUGGACGGUACAAUGGGUAGCCAAGCCGCGAGGUGGAGCCAAUCCCCAAAGCCGUUCUCAGUUCGGAUUGCAGGCUGCAACUCGCCUGCAUGAAGUUGGAGUUGCUAGUAACCGCGCAUCAGCUAUGGUGCGGUGAAUACGUUCCCGGGCCUUGCACACACCGCCCGU